CAGUAGCCGCGGUAAUACGGAGGAUCCAAGCGUUAUCCGGAAUUAUUGGGUUUAAAGGGUGCGUAGGCGGCAUGCUAAGUCAGGGGUGAAAGACGGUGGCUCAACCAUCGCAGUGCCUUUGAUACUGGUGUGCUUGAAUGUACAUGAGGUAGGCGGAAUGAGACAAGUAGCGGUGAAAUGCAUAGAUAUGUCUCAGAACACCAAUUGCGAAGGCAGCUUACUAAGGUAUGAUUGACGCUGAUGCACGAAAGCGUGGGGAUCAAACAGGAUUAGAUACCCCCGUAGUCCCUGUCUAUUAUAA
RNAcentral lists this ribosomal RNA (301 nucleotides) under uncultured bacterium. RNAcentral describes it as "partial 16S ribosomal RNA". It matches the Rfam family "Bacterial small subunit ribosomal RNA", at positions 509 to 809 of the family's 1533-position model. The record is from RNAcentral.